This is a non-coding RNA of Drosophila melanogaster (fruit fly), 334 nucleotides long. Lineage: Eukaryota; Metazoa; Arthropoda; Insecta; Diptera; Drosophilidae. The record is from Ensembl.
AGCCGAGCGGCGAAUGGAAAAGUCUGCUGGCAGAUGGAAAACCUAUUGUUCAAUUACCAAAGCGAGACGGAAAAUGGAGUAGUCCGUGUGUUGCAAUCGGAUGGAUUUUGGGCUUUGGAUUUUGUAGCCGGUGUGUGGCGUCGUCCCACCUUUUGAUGGCAUUUUAAGCGAAUUUUCGAGCGUCUGGCGGUCUGGGAAUCUCUUAAUCGGAAUCCCCAUCGCCAAGAGCGAGGUGAAAGGCAUAAAGAAGGCGCCGCAUCCAAAAGGCAAAAGGUUUUUGGUGCAAUUAAUUGGCACAAUAAAAACAAAAGGCGGCUCUGCAUUGUACUUGCUC